RNAcentral lists this ribosomal RNA (449 nucleotides) under uncultured bacterium. RNAcentral describes it as "partial 16S ribosomal RNA". It matches the Rfam family "Bacterial small subunit ribosomal RNA", at positions 328 to 793 of the family's 1533-position model. The record is from RNAcentral.
CGGCCAGACUCCUACGGGAGGCAGCAGUGGGGAAUAUUGCGCAAUGGGGGAAACCCUGACGCAGCAACGCCGCGUGAGUGAAGACGUAUCUCGGUAUGUAAAGCUCUAUCAGCGGGGAAGAAGGAAGACGGUACCCGACUAAGAAGCCCCGGCUAACUACGUGCCAGCAGCCGCGGUAAUACGUAGGGGGCAAGCGUUAUCCGGAUUUACUGGGUGUAAAGGGGGCGCAGACGGCGAUGCAAGCCAGGAGUGAAAGCCCGGGGCCCAACCCCGGGACUGCUCUUGGAACUGCGUGGCUGGAGUGCAGGAGGGGCAGGCGGAAUUCCUGGUGUAGCGGUGAAAUGCGUAGAUAUCAGGAGGAACACCGGUGGCGAAGGCGGCCUGCUGGACUGCAACUGACGUUGAGGCCCGAAAGCGUGGGGAGCAAACAGGAUUAGAUACCCGAGUAG